GGAGGGUUAGCGCAGUGGCAGCGCAUCAGGCUUCGAACCUGAGGGUCGUGGGUUCAACCCCCACAUCCUUCG
Chytriomyces cf. hyalinus JEL632 is the source of this 72-nucleotide non-coding RNA. The record is from the annotation of a GenBank genome assembly. NCBI's taxonomy places the organism in Eukaryota, Fungi, Chytridiomycota, Chytridiomycetes, Chytridiales, Chytriomycetaceae.